GCAAGUCGUACGAGAAAUCUUCUGCUUGCAGAAGAGAGUAAAGUGGCGCACGGGUGAGUAACGCGUGGGUAAUCUACCUCCGAAUCGGGGAUAACAUUGCGAAAGCGAUGCUAAUACCGGAUAAUAUCCUUUGGGUUUCGAUCCUUUGGAUCAAAGGUGGCCUCUAGAUCUAAGCUAUUGUUUGGAGAUGAGCCCGCGUACCAUUAGCUUGUUGGUGGGGUAAUGGCCUACCAAGGCAGCGAUGGGUAGCUGGUCUGAGAGGAUGAUC
Molecule: ribosomal RNA, 268 nt
Filed under: uncultured bacterium
Lineage: Bacteria
Description: partial 16S ribosomal RNA
Rfam family: Bacterial small subunit ribosomal RNA
Source: RNAcentral